Molecule: ribosomal RNA, 497 nt
Filed under: uncultured bacterium
Lineage: Bacteria
Description: partial 16S ribosomal RNA
Rfam family: Bacterial small subunit ribosomal RNA
Source: RNAcentral
GAUGAACGCUGGCGGCGUGCCUAAUACAUGCAAGUCGAGCGAACAGACGAGGAGCUUGCUCCUCUGACGUUAGCGGCGGACGGGUGAGUAACACGUGGAUAACCUACCUAUAAGACUGGGAUAACUUCGGGAAACCGGAGCUAAUACCGGAUAAUAUAUUGAACCGCAUGGUUCAAUAGUGAAAGACGGUUUUGCUGUCACUUAUAGAUGGAUCCGCGCCGCAUUAGCUAGUUGGUAAGGUAACGGCUUACCAAGGCAACGAUGCGUAGCUGACCUGAGAGGGUGAUCGGCCACACUGGAACUGAGACACGGUCCAGACUCCUACGGGAGGCAGCAGUAGGGAAUCUUGCGCAAUGGGCGAAAGCCUGACGGAGCAACGCCGCGUGAGUGAUGAAGGUCUUCGGAUCGUAAAACUCUGUUAUUAGGGAAGAACAAAUGUGUAAGUAACUAUGCACGUCUUGACGGUACCUAAUCAGAAAGCCACGGCUAACUACGUG